GAAAUGCGAUAAGUAAUGUGAAUUGCAGAAUUCAGUGAAUCAUCGAAUCUUUGAACGCACCUUGCGCUCCUUGGUAUUCCUUGGAGCAUGCCUGUUUGAGUAUCAUGAAAUCUUCAAAGUAAAUCUUUUGUUAACUCAAUUGGUUUCUACUUUGGUAUUGGAGGUCUUUGCAGCUUCACACCUGCUCCUCUUUGUUCAUUAGCUGGAUCUCAGUGUUAUGCUUGGUUCCACUCGGCGUGAUAAGUUAUCUAUCGCUGAGGACACUGUAAAAGGUGGCCAAGGUAAAUGCAGAUGAACCGCUUCUAAUAGUCCAUUGACUUGGACAAUACUUUUAUGAUCUGAUCUCAAAUCAGGUAGGACUACCCGCUGAACUUAUG
RNAcentral lists this unclassified non-coding RNA (377 nucleotides) under plant metagenome. RNAcentral describes it as "partial contains 5.8S ribosomal RNA, internal transcribed spacer 2, and large subunit ribosomal RNA". The stretch from base 1 to 105 matches the Rfam family "5.8S ribosomal RNA", at positions 50 to 154 of the family's 154-position model. The record is from RNAcentral.